UAGGUCAGUGAAAUCUAAAAGUCAUGUUGUAAAGUGAUUAAAAACAUCAUGUGGCCUUUGCAGGAGACGGCAGCUACAGCGUCCCGGAGGACCAAACUGAAACCCAAAGAAGAAGCAGCAUAUUUUCAUCCAUCCUUAAAGAUAAGGAUGGAUUUGAAAUAAAAUAUAUAAAUGCAUUUAAAGGUAACACAGUCCCAUGUUUAAGUAUUGUUUUAAAUUUGCCCCUUUUCCUGACUAACGUGUCCUUUGAUAGGUCAAGGAGUGUUCAGUUGUCGCCACUUCCAAAAAGGGGACUUCCUUGUUGAAUACAGAGGAGAAUUCCUUAAUAAACAACAAUAUGAAAGAAGGCACAGAGUUUAUCAUCGUGCACUUGAAGUAUUUUUCUUUGAAUUGCGCUAUAAUAUGGUAAGUAUAUUACAGUACCUCAUUUACAAUGUCUUGGAAAAUGUACAAAGCUGUAGGUCAACCAGAGAUACAAAGUCAGCUUUUUCUGACUCUAUUCCAGUAGCAGUAAUGAUGAACUAGGAUGAAGACUGGCCGGAAACAUGAUGUAAUUAUUCAGUGAAACCUGCGAUGACUUAUGAGAUUCAGUCAGUGUUAUUACAGCAUGCAGUUAGUGUUGUGUUCUUGCUGUUUCAGGAUUGAUGCUGCCAGAGAUGAUGAUUCUUUGGGCAGACUUGUGAAUGAUGACCACAAGAACCCCAACAGUAAAAUGAGAAUGAUCACUGUGGACCGGAAGCCCCAUCUCUGCUCAUUCGCAGUAAAGGACAUCAGUCCCGGGGAGGAGAUAACGGAUAACUACGGGGAUUCUGACUGGCCAUGGAGAAGCAAGGUGCUGAAUUCCUGCUUUUGUGUUCUGCAACAGAUUGCCCUCUCACAGAAUGUGGGCAUCUAUCCAGUUGUGACACGGUUACCUCCUAUUUGUGCACAUCCCCUGGACAGCUUACCUGUAUCCUGAAAUUAGCAGCAAGGAUGCUGUGGUCUUCCCAUCUUAUGUGCCAGGACACUGGAUGCUGUGUAGAAAUUGCUCAGAGCCUCUGUCCUGGGCCAUGGACCGAAUUCUUCUCUGAGGACCUUGAGGAUGUUCCUCGACAAGAGCUGUCUUGUAGCUGUGGAGUCUUCACACUAAUGUAUGCUCUCUAUAUCACCCUGGGGGGAACGUUUGACUUCUCAGAGUCAGACAUGCCAAGUAUUAGAAGAUGGUGGUCUGCCCUUUUGCUGGAGAUGUUCCCACCGAGAUCAUUCACAAAAAGCCAGCAAAGAAAAAAGAGGCGAAUCAGGGCUGACAAGGGACAAGACACUGUUGCAACCAGUGACACACCCCUGAACAUACAGCAGGCAUGUAUUUGCCAUUUUAUUCAAUCUUUAAACUGCAGUUGGAUUAUUAUGACCACAACAUUUGUUCCUCUACAGCUUCCUCUGCUAGUUCUUGGAGCAAUCUUGCUGGAAGUUGUGGUUCAUGAUGGUGAUGUUGCAAUCCGCACCCUUUUGCCCUCACAUACAGUUGCUUCUACAACAUUGUGUGCAUGGAAAGUUUCCGGCGAGAGGCUUACUUUCGGUGGUUGGACAGUAGGUUUUAUUAGUGUCUUAUUACCCUUCCCAUCUUUCUUGAUAUCAUUGUUAGGUAAAUGCCAGCUCUGUUUGUUUCUUUCACAAUUUACAUAUAACAUUGGUCAGUACAUUGUUGCACUUUAAAGGCAGUUGCCUGGGAAUGAGAUCAGCUGGAUUUUUGUAUACAUUUAUCAGGUGUGGUGAACUGGAAGGCAUUUAGUGAGAACUUCAGAACCCUGUACAGGAUUUGCCAUGCGUUUGCUUAACAUAAAUAAAAUACAUAGUCCUCUCGCUCUCUGUUGCUCGUUUUCUGUGCUAUUUAAAUAUUUUGAAGCGCAACAAUAUAAUACUUACUGUUAAGGCAUGAUGGAUGAAACAUGGUUAUGAAUGAUUAAAGAUCAUAGUUUUCUUUGAAUAGACUAUGCUGAAUAUUUCUUUUUUUAUUUUUUUAUUUUGUCACAAUAAAUAGUUUAAAGCCUUUUACAUGUUUUAUCUGUCUGACUGAAUUACAAUAAUACUGA
Long non-coding RNA from Ctenopharyngodon idella (grass carp), 2072 nucleotides. RefSeq lists it as uncharacterized. The record is from RefSeq and is a predicted model, not a curated record. The transcript is spliced from 10 exons. NCBI's taxonomy places the organism in Eukaryota, Metazoa, Chordata, Actinopteri, Cypriniformes, Xenocyprididae.